AGCGUAGACGGCAUGGCAAGCCAGAUGUGAAAGCCCGGGGCUCAACCCCGGGACUGCAUUUGGAACUGUCAGGCUAGAGUGUCGGAGAGGAAAGCGGAAUUCCUAGUGUAGCGGUGAAAUGCGUAGAUAUUAGGAGGAACACCAGUGGCGAAGGCGGCUUUCUGGACGAUGACUGACGUUGAGGCUCGAAAGCGUGGGAGGCAAACA
This 207-nucleotide ribosomal RNA is filed under the name uncultured bacterium. RNAcentral describes it as "partial 16S ribosomal RNA". It matches the Rfam family "Bacterial small subunit ribosomal RNA", at positions 568 to 774 of the family's 1533-position model. The record is from RNAcentral.